UUCUCCAACUACCCAAGACCGACUUUCCCUUAUCAUCAAUCCUCAAUUACUCCCCCCAUCUACCAUACUAUAGCUUCAAUUGAUCACAACCCUUACUUCUGCCCUAUAUCUACCAUUACAUCUCAACAACAAAACAGAAUCAUCUACUGCUGCUCGUUGCUGUCGGAGCCAUACCGGAGAGAGAAUCAUCUGCAAAUGGUGGAAUGAAGGUAAAGGUUGAUAAAGAUGAGUCGUCUCCAUAAGCAGCUAUGCUUGUUGCACAAGAUGUUUCAACAAGAUGCAAGGUUUUUACUUGUUUAUUUUAGUGUCUUGCUAUAUGGUAAUCAUAGCAGUUUGUUUUUGUUUGAUACAUUACAACUAACAAAUUUCUGUUGUAACAACUGGACCUUGGAAUCAAUGCACUCCAUAUAAAACUAUGGGCAACUGGAGGUAACAAGACAAAGACACCCGGUCCAGGUGCACAGUUUGCCCUCAGAGCUCUUGCCCGUUCUGGCAUGAAGAUUGGUCACAUUGAGGACGUGACACGAAUUCCAACAGAUAGCACUCGUCGAAAGAGUGGGAGAAGAGGAAGGAGGCUGUGAUAUGUUUUUUGUCUACAAUAUGUUUUCAAUGUAUCUGCAAUUUGGAUUAUGGUUGUCUUCAACUUUUGUAGGUUAUUU
This 659-nucleotide long non-coding RNA is filed under the name Helianthus annuus (common sunflower). Its description in RNAcentral is "hypothetical non coding rna". The record is from RNAcentral. Lineage: Eukaryota; Viridiplantae; Streptophyta; Magnoliopsida; Asterales; Asteraceae.